Non-coding RNA from Setomelanomma holmii, 83 nucleotides. The record is from the annotation of a GenBank genome assembly. Lineage: Eukaryota; Fungi; Ascomycota; Dothideomycetes; Pleosporales; Phaeosphaeriaceae.
GCCCGGAUGGCCUAGUGGUAAGGCGUCGCACUCGUAUCACCAACGGUAUGCGAAGAUCGCCAGUUCGAUCCUGGCUCAGGGCA